GGCCCUGUAGCUCAGUCGGUAGAGCAGAGGACUGAAAAUCCUCGUGUCGGCAGUUCGAUUCUGUCCAGGGCCA
This 73-nucleotide transfer RNA is filed under the name Leptospira sp. Its description in RNAcentral is "tRNA-Phe". It matches the Rfam family "tRNA". From Rfam's summary of the family: Transfer RNA (tRNA) molecules are approximately 80 nucleotides in length. Their secondary structure includes four short double-helical elements and three loops (D, anti-codon, and T loops). Lineage: Bacteria; Pseudomonadati; Spirochaetota; Leptospiria; Leptospirales; Leptospiraceae. The record is from RNAcentral.